Molecule: long non-coding RNA, 108 nt
Organism: Sinocyclocheilus grahami
Lineage: Eukaryota; Metazoa; Chordata; Actinopteri; Cypriniformes; Cyprinidae
Exons: 3
Source: RefSeq, a predicted model, not a curated record
GUUCACCGUUACUGGCUGGUGGAAUGCUCUUCCCACCCCCAUCUGGAAUGCCGAAUCCCUGACAAUUUCAAGCGAUAGCUGAAAACUCAUCUCUCUUUCGUCAACAUU